Non-coding RNA from Physcomitrium patens, 1013 nucleotides. The record is from RefSeq and is a predicted model, not a curated record. NCBI's taxonomy places the organism in Eukaryota, Viridiplantae, Streptophyta, Bryopsida, Funariales, Funariaceae.
AGUUGUGAUCUGGAGUGCUCUCUGUGGCUCUUCUGUUCGGCGGGAGCUUCUGUAAGUGAUAGGUACAAGGUGAAUGGAUAAUAUUAUUGUGUUGCGGAGCUGUCUGUGCACAUUUUUAAUGUUUGCAAUGUGCUUGAUAAAUGAUACUAAUUUCAUGUAUUGCUCGGGCCGAACUUUUAGGUAGCACACGUUUGGGAGAUCGUUUGUGGCCGGUCCGAUGCGAUGAGCGUUGCAUCCUUUAUCCCUUCUUCGAUGUUGUUGCAUGCUUGCUGUGUGAUGUUGCUUCGAAGGCUUUGUUGACUUGAUUUAGGGUGCAAAGCGAAUCAAAAGGGCUCGAUAUGUGAGGUCUCAACUCUUGCCACACGCUUUUGUAUGUGCGUCAAAGUAUUACUCACUUUUGCAUGUUAACGUCAGGUUUCUGAGUUGGUAUGCAGCAAUGUACAAAAUAUCGUCAGACUUCGCUCCAUUACAAUAACCAAUGUUGUAGAGUAUGAAUGUUGCCUCACUGUUACGAACCUCCACCUCCUGGUGAUACCGAAGACUGGGAGCUACAGUGCGUGUCGACGCCGAACUCUGGCAGCUUGUGUUUUUCUCUUUUGUAUUCAACAGUGUUUGUCAUUUUAUUUAAAUAUCCAUGAUUUACCGCACGAAGUCUUUCAAGGAACGAGACCUCGGAGAGUGGUGGUGGUGGUCGUCGUCGAAUGUCAGGACUGUCGGCACUGCAAGCUUGAUGGGUUCGAGACUCCUCUGGGAAAUUUGACGCCCUGAAGGUGGGUUGAGGUUGACGAUGUGAAUGGGUUUCCAUGGAAGGGUGUUCGUAGAUUCUUUUUCCAUAUUUGCCCGACAUAAACUGUAUUGAACUACACUGCAUGACAAAUUAUUUCAUGCUGAUGUUAGUUGAGUUUGAUUAAGGUUGGUAUCAGUGUUGUUUGUACUUUCUGCAAAACAAGGGAGUUGUUGUUUUGCAUUGAAUGUGGCCGAAUUUCACAUAAGAAGUUUUACCUAUUGACAUA